This 477-nucleotide ribosomal RNA is filed under the name uncultured bacterium. RNAcentral's name for it is "bacterial SSU rRNA". It matches the Rfam family "Bacterial small subunit ribosomal RNA", at positions 29 to 498 of the family's 1533-position model. The record is from RNAcentral.
AUUGAACGCUGGCGGCAUGCUUUACACAUGCAAGUCGAACGGCAGCACGGGUGCUUGCACCUGGUGGCGAGUGGCGGACGGGUGAGUAAUACAUCGGAACGUAUCCAGAAGAGGGGGAUAACGCAUCGAAAGAUGUGCUAAUACCGCAUACGAACUGAGGUUGAAAGCAGGGGAUCGCAAGACCUUGCGCUGAUGGAUGAGCCGAAGUCGGAUUAGCUUGUUGGUGGGGUAAUGGCCUACCAAGGCGACGAUCCGUAGCUGGUCUGAGAGGACGACCAGCCACACUGGGACUGAGACACGGCCCAGACUCCUACGGGAGGCAGCAGUGGGGAAUAUUGGACAAUGGGGGCAACCCUGAUCCAGCGACGCCGCGUGUGUGAAGAAGGCCUGCGGGUUGUAAAGCACUUUUAGUGGGGAGGAAGGUCUGCGACCUAACACGUCGUGGAAUUGACUUAACCCACAGAAAAAGCACCGGCU